RNAcentral lists this ribosomal RNA (370 nucleotides) under Babesia odocoilei. Its description in RNAcentral is "SSU rRNA". It matches the Rfam family "Eukaryotic small subunit ribosomal RNA", at positions 475 to 900 of the family's 1831-position model. Lineage: Eukaryota; Apicomplexa; Aconoidasida; Piroplasmida; Babesiidae. The record is from RNAcentral.
AAAUAACAAUACAGGGCAAUUGUCUUGUAAUUGGAAUGAUGGUGACCUAAACCCUCACCAGAGUAACAAUUGGAGGGCAAGUCUGGUGCCAGCAGCCGCGGUAAUUCCAGCUCCAAUAGCGUAUAUUAAACUUGUUGCAGUUAAAAAGCUCGUAGUUGAAUUUUUGCGUCACCGUGUAUCGACAUUGGUCGUUUAUCGGUUUCGCUUUUGGGAUUUAUCCCUUUUUACUUUGAGAAAAUUAGAGUGUUUCAAGCAGACUUUUGUCUUGAAUACUUCAGCAUGGAAUAAUAGAGUAGGACUUUGGUUCUAUUUUGUUGGUUUGUGAACCUUAGUAAUGGUUAAUAGGAACGGUUGGGGGCAUUCGUAUUUA